This 472-nucleotide ribosomal RNA is filed under the name uncultured bacterium. RNAcentral's name for it is "bacterial SSU rRNA". It matches the Rfam family "Bacterial small subunit ribosomal RNA", at positions 28 to 507 of the family's 1533-position model. The record is from RNAcentral.
GAUAAACGCUGGCGGCGCACAUAAGACAUGCAAGUCGAACGGACUUAACCAUUAGUUUACUGAUGGAGCGGUUAGUGGCGGACUGGUGAGUAACACGUAAGCAAUCUGCCUAUCAGAGGGGAACAACAGUUAGAAAUGACUGCUAAUACCGCAUAUGCCUAAGUAACACAUGUUACAAUAGGGAAAGGAGCAAUCCGCUGAUAGAUGAGCUUGCGUCUGAUUAGAUAGUUGGUGGGGUAACGGCCUACCAAGUCGACGAUCAGUAGCCGGACUGAGAGGUUGAACGGCCACAUUGGGACUGAGAUACGGCCCAGACUCCUACGGGAGGCAGCAGUCGGGAAUAUUGGGCAAUGGGCGAAAGCCUGACCCAGCGACGCCGCGUGCGGGAAGAAGGUCUUCGGAUUGUAAACCGCUGUAGACAGGGACGAAACAAAUGACGGUACCUGUAAAGUAAGCCACGGCUAACUACGUG